RNAcentral lists this ribosomal RNA (193 nucleotides) under Heterospilus sp. MAS-2010. RNAcentral's name for it is "partial 28S ribosomal RNA". Lineage: Eukaryota; Metazoa; Arthropoda; Insecta; Hymenoptera; Braconidae. The record is from RNAcentral.
UUUGUAUAUGUAUGAGUUAUGAUGCGAGUUACUCNUUGUAGUAUUGCUUGUACGUACUUAUACAUUUAUUUGCAAGGUGUUGUCGGCGUGCACUUCUCCCCUAGUAGGACGUCGCGACCCGUUGGGUGUUGGUCUACGACCCGAGUNGGGAGACUUNUAAUAUUUUNAUAAUAUUAAAAACCCUUGGUGUUUU